This 548-nucleotide ribosomal RNA is filed under the name uncultured Glomeromycotina. Its description in RNAcentral is "SSU rRNA". It matches the Rfam family "Eukaryotic small subunit ribosomal RNA", at positions 548 to 1098 of the family's 1831-position model. The record is from RNAcentral. Lineage: Eukaryota; Fungi; Glomeromycota.
UUGGAGGGCAAGUCUGGUGCCAGCAGCGAGGUAAUUCCAGCUCCAAUAGCGUAUAUUAAAGUUGUUGCAGUUAAAAAGCUCGUAGUUGAAUUUCGGGAUCAAUAUGUCGGUCGUACUUUUGGUACGUACUGGCAUCAUUGGUUUCUCCCUUCUGACAAACCAUGAUGUCAUUAAUUUGGUGUCAUGGGGAAUCAGGACUGUUACUUUGAAAAAAUUAGAGUGUUUAAAGCAGGCACACGCUUGAAUACAUUAGCAUGGAAUAAUGAAAUAGGACGUUUGACCCUAUUUUGUUGGUUUCUAGGAUCGACGUAAUGAUUAAUAGGGAUAGUUGGGGGCAUUAGUAUUCAAUUGUCAGAGGUGAAAUUCCUGGAUUUAUUGAAGACUUUUUUCUGCGAAAGCAUUUGCCAAGGAUGUUUUCAUUAAUCAAGAACGAAAGUUAGGGGAUCGAAGACGAUCAGAUACCGUCGUAGUCUUAACCAUAAACUAUGCCGACUAGGGAUCGGAUGAUGUUAAUUUUUUAAUGACUCAUUCGGCGCCUUACGGGAAAC